GAUGAACGCUGGCGGCGUGCCUAAUACAUGCAAGUCGAGCGAACGGACGAGAAGCUUGCUUCUCUGAUGUUAGCGGCGGACGGGUGAGUAACACGUGGAUAACCUACCUAUAAGACUGGGAUAACUUCGGGAAACCGGAGCUAAUACCGGAUAAUAUUUUGAACCGCAUGGUUCAAAAGUGAAAGACGGUCUUGCUGUCACUUAUAGAUGGACCCGCGCUGCAUUAGCUAGUUGGUAAGGUAACGGCUUACCAAGGCAACGAUGCAUAGCCGACCUGAGAGGGUGAUCGGCCACACUGGAACUGAGACACGGUCCAGACUCCUACGGGAGGCAGCAGUAGGGAAUCUUCCGCAAUGGGCGAAAGCCUGACGGAGCAACGCCGCGUGAGUGAUGAAGGUCUUCGGAUCGUAAAACUCUGUUAUUAGGGAAGAACAUAUGUGUAAGUAACUGUGCACAUCUUGACGGUACCUAAUCAGAAAGCCACGGCUAACUACGUGCCAGCAGCCGCGGUAAUACGUAGGUGGCAAGCGUUAUCCGGAAUUAUUGGGCGUAAAGCGCGCGUAGGCGGUUUUUUAAGUCUGAUGUGAAAGCCCACGGCUCAACCGUGGAGGGUCAUUGGAAACUGGAAAACUUGAGUGCAGAAGAGGAAAGUGGAAUUCCAUGUGUAGCGGUGAAAUGCGCAGAGAUAUGGAGGAACACCAGUGGCGAAGGCGACUUUCUGGUCUGUAACUGACGCUGAUGUGCGAAAGCGUGGGGAUCAAACAGGAUUAGAUACCCUGGUAGUCCACGCCGUAAACGAUGAGUGCUAAGUGUUAGGGGGUUUCCGCCCCUUAGUGCUGCAGCUAACGCAUUAAGCACUCCGCCUGGGGAGUACGACCGCAAGGUUGAAACUCAAAGGAAUUGACGGGGACCCGCACAAGCGGUGGAGCAUGUGGUUUAAUUCGAAGCAACGCGAAGAACCUUACCAAAUCUUGACAUCCUUUGACAACUCUAGAGAUAGAGCUUUCCCCUUCGGGGGACAAAGUGACAGGUGGUGCAUGGUUGUCGUCAGCUCGUGUCGUGAGAUGUUGGGUUAAGUCCCGCAACGAGCGCAACCCUUAAGCUUAGUUGCCAUCAUUAAGUUGGGCACUCUAAGUUGACUGCCGGUGACAAACCGGAGGAAGGUGGGGAUGACGUCAAAUCAUCAUGCCCCUUAUGAUUUGGGCUACACACGUGCUACAAUGGACAAUACAAAGGGCAGCGAAACCGCGAGGUCAAGCAAAUCCCAUAAAGUUGUUCUCAGUUCGGAUUGUAGUCUGCAACUCGACUACAUGAAGCUGGAAUCGCUAGUAAUCGUAGAUCAGCAUGCUACGGUGAAUACGUUCCCGGGUCU
This 1372-nucleotide ribosomal RNA is filed under the name uncultured bacterium. RNAcentral's name for it is "bacterial SSU rRNA". It matches the Rfam family "Bacterial small subunit ribosomal RNA", at positions 28 to 1381 of the family's 1533-position model. The record is from RNAcentral.